RNAcentral lists this ribosomal RNA (465 nucleotides) under uncultured bacterium. RNAcentral's name for it is "partial 16S ribosomal RNA". It matches the Rfam family "Bacterial small subunit ribosomal RNA", at positions 28 to 507 of the family's 1533-position model. The record is from RNAcentral.
GACGAACGCUGGCGGCGUGCUUAACACAUGCCAGUCGAACGGAAAGGCCCUGCUUGCAGGGUACUCGAGUGGCGAACGGGUGAGUAACACGUGGGUGAUCUGCCCUGCACUUCGGGAUAAGCCUGGGAAACUGGGUCUAAUACCGGAUAGGAGCCAUCUUUAGUGUGGUGGUUGGAAAGUUUUUUCGGUGUAGGAUGAGCUCGCGGCCUAUCAGCUUGUUGGUGGGGUAAUGGCCUACCAAGGCGGCGAGGGGUAGCCGGCCUGAGAGGGUGAACGGCCACAUUGAGACGGAGAACCGGCCCAGCCACCUACGGGGGGAGGCAGGGGGGAAGAUUGAACAAGGGGCGCAGGCUGAAUGCAGGGAGGCGGGUUGGGGGAGGACGGCCUUGGGGUGGAAAAUCCCUUUCGCAAGGGACGAAGCUUUUUGUGACGGUACCUAGAUAAGAAGCACCGGCUAACUACGUG